Molecule: ribosomal RNA, 1121 nt
Filed under: Agrobacterium pusense
Lineage: Bacteria; Pseudomonadati; Pseudomonadota; Alphaproteobacteria; Hyphomicrobiales; Rhizobiaceae
Description: partial 23S ribosomal RNA
Rfam family: Bacterial large subunit ribosomal RNA
Source: RNAcentral
UAAGAAGCGAACGCAGGGAACUGAAACAUCUAAGUACCUGCAGGAAAGGACAUCAACCGAGACUCCGCAAGUAGUGGCGAGCGAACGCGGACCAGGCCAGUGGCAAUGAUGAAUAAAGCGGAACGAUCUGGAAAGGUCGGCCAUAGAGGGUGAUAGCCCCUUACGCGUAGAACAGUCAUUGUCCUUGAGUAGGGCGGGACACGUGAAAUCCUGUCUGAACAUGGGGAGACCACUCUCCAAGCCUAAGUACUCGUGCAUGACCGAUAGCGAACAAGUACCGUGAGGGAAAGGUGAAAAGCACCCCGACGAGGGGAGUGAAAUAGAACCUGAAACCGGAUGCCUACAAACAGUCGGAGCCCGCAAGGGUGACGGCGUACCUUUUGUAUAAUGGGUCAACGACUUAGUGUAACUAGCAAGCUUAAGCCGGUAGGUGUAGGCGCAGCGAAAGCGAGUCUGAACAGGGCGAUUGAGUUAGUUGCAUUAGACCCGAAACCGAGUGAUCUAGCCAUGAGCAGGCUGAAGGUUGGGUAACACCAACUGGAGGGCCGAACCCAUAACUGUUGCAAUAGUUCGGGAUGACUUGUGGCUAGGGGUGAAAGGCCAAUCAAACUCGGAAAUAGCUGGUUCUCCGCGAAAUCUAUUUAGGUAGAGCGUCGACCGAAUACCCUCGGGGGUAGAGCACUGGAUGGGCUAUGGGGACUCACCGUCUUACUGAUCCUAACCAAACUCCGAAUACCGAGGAGUACUAGUCGGCAGACACACGGCGGGUGCUAACGUCCGUCGUGAAAAGGGCAACAACCCUGACCUCCAGCUAAGGUCCCCAAGUCAUGGCUAAGUGGGAAAGGAUGUGAGGAUCCCAAAACAACCAGGAUGUUGGCUUAGAAGCAGCCAUCAUUUAAAGAAAGCGUAACAGCUCACUGGUCUAAAUAAGGGUCUUUGCGCCGAAAAUGUAACGGGGCUAAAGCCAUGCACCGAAGCUGAGGAUUUGCAGCAAUGCAAGUGGUAGCGGAGCGUUCCGUAAGUCUGUGAAGGCGGACCCGUGAGGGCUGCUGGAGAUAUCGGAAGUGCGAAUGUUGACAUGAGUAACGAUAAAGGGAGUGAGAGACUCCCUCGCCGAAAGA